GGGAGAAAGAUUAUCGGUGAUUGAUGGGGCCGCGUUAGAUUAGCUUGUUGGUGAGGUAAUGGCUCACCAAGGCGACGAUCUAUAGCUGGUCUGAGAGGAUGAUCAGCCACACUGGGACUGAGACACGGCCCAGACUCCUACGGGAGGCAGCAGUGGGGAAUAUUGGACAAUGGGCGCAAGCCUGAUCCAGCAACGCCGCGUGAAUGAUGAAGGCCUUAGGGUUGUAAAAUUCUUUCGCUAGGGAAGAUAAUGACUGUACCUAGUAAAGAAGCCCCGGCUAACUCCGUGCCAGCAGCCGCGGUAAUACGGAGGGGGCUAGCGUUGUUCGGAAUUACUGGGCGUAAAGCGUGCGUAGGCGGAUUAAUAAGUUAGAUGUGAAAUCCCAGGGCUCAACCCUGGAACUGCAUUUAAAACUGUUAGUCUUGAGUUCUGGAGAGGUAAGUGGAAUUCCUAGUGUAGAGGUGAAAUUCGUAGAUAUUAGGAGGAACACCAGAGGCGAAGGCGGCUUACUGGACAGAUACUGACGCUGAGGCACGAAAGUGUGGGGAGCAAACAGGAUUAGAUACCCUGGUAGUCCACACCGUA
RNAcentral lists this ribosomal RNA (585 nucleotides) under uncultured bacterium. RNAcentral describes it as "bacterial SSU rRNA". It matches the Rfam family "Bacterial small subunit ribosomal RNA", at positions 198 to 804 of the family's 1533-position model. The record is from RNAcentral.